UCGCCUGGACGACCCACAGACUCAUGAUGUUCCCACUGAGCCAGGAGGAGAGCGCGCUGCAGUGUCCAGGCCGACCCACCCACUCAACACGCAACUCUCCCUCAAGAAGUGCUUUGCACGUGUCGGAGGCAGCGGCGGUUCCUGAUGGGACGGAAGCGCAUCUAAAACACCGACAGACGAAUCGGACAUGAACAAAAUCAGAAAUCGAUCGAUCAAUCACCAAAAGAAGUUAUCAAUCCUUUAAAGAACAUUUCUCCACAGAAAAUUCAAGAACGUUUCAAGAAUUUUAAAAACUUUUUCAGCACCAAACAGAGAUAAAAACUAUGCAAAUGAACUAAAAAAGACAGUUUAAAUGAACUCAGAUAUAAUAUUGUUAUUAAUAAUGCCUUAUGAUAGUAUUCUACAUUCUACAGCAGGGAAAUGUAAACUGAAAUAUAUUUUUUCUUUUACUUUGAAAUGUCUCACAAACAUAGGGCAGACUGAAAAAAAGUCUCCCAAUUUCAUUAAUGUUUCAAAUACAAGCCAAUUUUUAUUUCAAAUAAACAGAUCAAUAAGUAAUUGAGCUAUUAGGAAUAAUAAAUAUCAUUGCUCUGGAAAACAUUAAGAGACCACCUAAAAUCACAAUUUCUCUGAUUUUACUCUUUAUAGGAACAUGUUUGAGUAAAAGGAACAUCGUUCUUUUAUUCCAUGAACUACUGACAACAUGUCUCUGAAA
Xiphophorus hellerii (green swordtail) is the source of this 715-nucleotide long non-coding RNA. RefSeq lists it as uncharacterized. Lineage: Eukaryota; Metazoa; Chordata; Actinopteri; Cyprinodontiformes; Poeciliidae. The transcript is spliced from 2 exons. The record is from RefSeq and is a predicted model, not a curated record.